GCCUGGGAUAGCUCAGUUGGUAGAGCACAGGAUUCUUAUUCUCAGGUUGUGGGUUCGAGCCCCUUGUUUGGCA
This is a non-coding RNA of Podarcis lilfordi (Lilford's wall lizard), 73 nucleotides long. The record is from the annotation of a GenBank genome assembly. NCBI's taxonomy places the organism in Eukaryota, Metazoa, Chordata, Lepidosauria, Squamata, Lacertidae.